UACGUAGGGCGCAAGCGUUAUCCGGAAUUAUUGGGCGUAAAGAGCUCGUAGGCGGUUUGUCGCGUCUGCCGUGAAAGUCCGGGGCUCAACUCCGGAUCUGCGGUGGGUACGGGCAGACUAGAGUGAUGUAGGGGAGACUGGAAUUCCUGGUGUAGCGGUGAAAUGCGCAGAUAUCAGGAGGAACACCGAUGGCGAAGGCAGGUCUCUGGGCAUUAACUGACGCUGAGGAGCGAACGCAUGGGGAGCGAACAGG
Molecule: ribosomal RNA, 253 nt
Filed under: uncultured bacterium
Lineage: Bacteria
Description: partial 16S ribosomal RNA
Rfam family: Bacterial small subunit ribosomal RNA
Source: RNAcentral